Molecule: ribosomal RNA, 311 nt
Filed under: uncultured bacterium
Lineage: Bacteria
Description: bacterial SSU rRNA
Rfam family: Bacterial small subunit ribosomal RNA
Source: RNAcentral
GACGAACGCUGGCGGCGUGCCUAACACAUGCAAGUCGAACGGAGCUUUGGAAGCUUGCUUCCAAAGCUUAGUGGCGGACGGGUGAGUAACGCGUGAGUAACCUGCCUUUCAGAGGGGGAUAACAUCCUGAAAAGGAUGCUAAUACCGCAUGAUAUCCAAGCAUCGCAUGGUGAGUGGAUCAAAGGAGCAAUCCGCUGAAAGAUGGACUCGCGUCCGAUUAGCCAGUUGGCGGGGUAGAGGCCCACCAAAGCGACGAUCGGUAGCCGGACUGAGAGGUUGAACGGCCACAUUGGGACUGAGACACGGCCCAG